UACAGAGGGUGCUAGCGUUGUUCGGAAUUAUUGGGCGUAAAGGGCGCGUAGGCGGCCCUGUGUGUCGGGUGUGAAAGCCCACCUCUUAAAGGUGGAAUUGCAUUCGAAACUACAGGGCUGGAGUGUCGGAGAGGAUGGCGGAAUUCCUGGUGUAGAGGUGAAAUUCGUAGAUAUCAGGAGGAACACCGGUGGCGAAGGCGGCCAUCUGGACGACAACGUGACGCUGAGGCGCGAAAGCGUGGGGAUCAAACAGG
RNAcentral lists this ribosomal RNA (254 nucleotides) under uncultured bacterium. Its description in RNAcentral is "partial 16S ribosomal RNA". It matches the Rfam family "Bacterial small subunit ribosomal RNA", at positions 524 to 776 of the family's 1533-position model. The record is from RNAcentral.